CUAGUGAGUGAGGAAGAUCUAUAAUUAAAUCUGUGAGUUAUAUGCUGCACAUGGGAAUUGGGCACACACCAAGCCCUGUAGAAAAAUCCAGUAAUAUUAGUAUGGCUGCAACUGGGGGAAUUAAACCUGGCUUUCCCUCAGACAUUUCUUAGCAAAAUAAUUUGGAACAUGAAUAUGGGAAAGCCCUUGUGUUUCUUUCAGAAGUCAGGGUGUGUAGAGGCUGGCUUCCAUUUCCUUCUGGCCCUGAUGUCUCUGCCUAUCCCACCAGCACCAGCCCGUGGAAGGACUGACCCGUCAGCAGCAGGCAGGUCUUGGAGCAUCAUAGUGUCAGGACCAGAAGGAAUCCAAGCCAGAGGCCAUCAAGCGUUUUCUGAUCCUCAAAAUGUGUUUCUCAAAUAAAAUCUCACCCAGAAACUCAGCAGGUGGUUGAUAGUGACAGACCUGAAGGUUCCAAGUUCAGGCUCACUGGAAAGGGAGUGGACCAGGAGCCUAAAGGAAUUCUCAGAAUCAACGAGAACACGGGAGUCGUCUCCGUGACCCAGUCCCUGGACAGGGAAACGAUUGCUGUUUAUCAAGUGAGUAACCCUCACCGGCCCACACUGUGUGGCUUUUAACCAGUGUUUUCUUCUUGCUGAGUCCAUCAUUUCUGUGCCUCAUCAAACUCAAGAGUGCGUGGCUUUAGUGUGUCUCCACGGGAACUGGAGUGAGCUGAGCCCUGAUGGGGUAACAGUGAGGGCUCCUGUCUCAUCAACAGAGCCCCCCGCCUGUGUCAACCUCAGGACACAGACCUGGGGUUUUUUCACAGGCGAUUCAAAUCCAUAGACUAACUUUGCUUUCCAGAGACCAGCUUGAUGAUCAGAGCAAUAAGAGCUGUAAAUCCUUGGAUGUGAUAAUUACCCUUUCAGAAAUAGAGAUAAUUCAGUAUGAUCAGAGAUUAUCAGAGAUAAUUCAGUAUCAUCCUGAGAAUGGAGGAAGCUGCUAAGCAUUCAUCCUUUGGGAAGUGGCUAAGGGCCAGCACCUUUGAAAGGCCAUUUUCUACAUCAUCUCAAAGACUUUUGACCAAGUGUUAGUUACAUGGAAAGAUUAAAGAUAUCAAAUGGAAACAGAAC
RNAcentral lists this long non-coding RNA (1109 nucleotides) under Heterocephalus glaber (naked mole-rat). RNAcentral describes it as "lncRNA (ENSHGLG00100051274.1)". The record is from RNAcentral. Lineage: Eukaryota; Metazoa; Chordata; Mammalia; Rodentia; Bathyergidae.